CGAGUAGGCGGAUAUGAAAGUCAGAUGUGAAAUCUCGGAGCUCAACUUCGAAACUGCGUCUGAAACUUCAUAUCUAGAAUCCCAGAGAGGGAAGGGGAAUUUCGCAUGUAGGAGUAAAAUCCGUAGAGAUGCGAAGGAACACCAGAGGCGAAGGCGCCUUCCUGGAUGGGUAUUGACGCUGAGGAGCGAAAGCGUGGGUAGCAAACA
RNAcentral lists this ribosomal RNA (207 nucleotides) under uncultured delta proteobacterium. RNAcentral's name for it is "partial 16S ribosomal RNA". It matches the Rfam family "Bacterial small subunit ribosomal RNA", at positions 568 to 774 of the family's 1533-position model. The record is from RNAcentral. Lineage: Bacteria; Deltaproteobacteria.